RNAcentral lists this ribosomal RNA (407 nucleotides) under uncultured bacterium. RNAcentral's name for it is "bacterial SSU rRNA". It matches the Rfam family "Bacterial small subunit ribosomal RNA", at positions 32 to 479 of the family's 1533-position model. The record is from RNAcentral.
AACGUAACGCUGGCGGCAUGCCUAACACAUGCAAGUCGAACGAAGCCUUCGGGCUUAGUGGCGCACGGGUGCGUAACGCGUGGGAAUCUGCCCUUGGGUUCGGAAUAAACAGUUAGAAAUGACUGCUAAUACCGAAUGAUGUCUUCGGACCAAAGAUUUAUCGCCCAAGGAUGAGCCCGCGUCGGAUUAGCUAGUUGGUGAGGUAAAGGCUCACCAAGGCGACGAUCCGUAGCUGGUCUGAGAGGAUGAUCAGCCACACUGGGACUGAGACACGGCCCAGACUCCUACGGGAGGCAGCAGUGGGGAAUAUUGGACAAUGGGCGAAAGCCUGAUCCAGCAAUGCCGCGUGAGUGAUGAAGGCCUUAGGGUUGUAAAGCUCUUUUACCCGGGAUGAUAAUGACAGUACC